Molecule: non-coding RNA, 109 nt
Organism: Misgurnus anguillicaudatus (oriental weatherfish)
Lineage: Eukaryota; Metazoa; Chordata; Actinopteri; Cypriniformes; Cobitidae
Source: RefSeq, a predicted model, not a curated record
GUGCUUGCUACGGCAGCACGUAUACUAAAAUUGGAUCGAUACAGAGAAGAUUAGCAUGGCCCCUGCGAAAGGAUGACAAUGCUAAUUGCCUCUGUUGCUCCAAGUCCUC